UCCACUUAAUUCAGUAUAAAUAUAUACUCAAAAAAAAUAAUACACCACAUGGUAGUGAGCUCUGUUGAAUCUGACUCCGACGUCCGAAGAUUAUAAGUAAUACAAUUCAUAAUAUAAACUACGACAACUCACACACUUCUUAAAAAAAUGAUACACCACGUGGUAGUGAGCUUUGCUGAACCUGACUCUGUAUAGAAGCACGUCCAAAUAUUAUAAGUAAUACAACUUAUAAUAUAAACAAAGACAAUUCACACACUCUCCCUCUCAUCUCGAUUUCAAAAACCCUUCAAAGAGGUUGGGGUAUAUUUCCACUCACCAUGUGCUCGUGCCUAUAAAGAAUGGUAUGUGAUGAUAAAAGAGAGAAGAAAAUAACGGUAGAAGAAGAAGAAGAAUGAAGAAAGGAAGAAGAUCGACCAAGAAAUAUGUUGGUACCAAGGCCCGUCCAGACGGACCAUGGGUCGAACAUGACCGCACGGCCCAGAAGGCCCAGGGAAGCAUACUAUAAGUACCUCCCUUGGAGCAACAGGGAGAGGGGUCGAUUAUUAGUGAGAGCAAUACUAGAAAGUUGUGUGUGAGCACUUUAACGCGAGCCCACACACCAUCAUUGGUGAACUUGACGUGAAUCAAACACGCAACCGGAGUAGAAGAGAAGAUGGUCGGAAGGAGUGAGUACCAUGUAGGAGAGAGCUCGAGGCACCGUGGAGAGAGGAAACCCCACAACCAGGAGAUCACCCCGGUCACCCGGCGGCCGCUGAAGGAUUUCGAAGAGGACUCGGACAGAACUGAGUCGUACCUCUCGUAUAGGAGGAAGCCUGCGGCCAGGACACUCGAGGCCCGGGAGUAGGCCGAAGCUAAUGAGGAGGCCCGGCGUAAGGAGGAAAGGAAGCGCAGGCGGGGGAGACGGAGCAGGUCCCCGACCCCACCGAGAGAAGGGAACGUCACCGGAAGAAGCAUUCCGAGAACGCGAAGCUCUCAGAGUUGGUCUCCGCCCUACAGGAGCAACUCCCACUACCAGAUUACUGACUUUUAGCGACGACCAGAAACCGUCUCUAAUCAUUAAAAACCGUCGCGAAUUGAUGGAAGAUGCUACUCUAUAUAAAGAGGUAGGUAGGCAUGCAGACAUAUUAUAAUCCUGGAAGAGGUCAACAUCAGACCUUUCAUCAGCAAAAUAAUAAUCCUACAACUCAAACUCAGAUUGUGAUUGCCCAAAGCCAUUACCCAAGACUGAUAAGCCUCUAAUUUUGACAGCCCCACAUUCCACCUUCUCUUAGCUUGAUACUGCAUUUUUCUGCUAAAUCUGUGAUAAAUUAAUGGAUAUUCUAAUGCUUGUCUAAUCUCUGUAAAUUAUAAUGUAAAUUGCUUGCCCAAAAUCCAAAUAAAAUCCAAGUAGGAUCGAUAAUAAACAAAAGAACAGAGAGGAAACUGGAAAAAGAGAUGUGGGUAAGUAACAGGAUGUGAGUGAAGAAAAUAACAGUGGUUGUCAUAGACUCACAAACUCACCGGAGGAUGUCAUUUUGAAAAUAACAGUAAAUUCUUAUCUCAUUUUGAAACUAAAUUCUAUAAAUCAAAGAACAUAAAAAUAAACCAGAGGAUGUCAUAGAACUCACCGGAGGAGGUUUUUUAAUUCACCAAGUCCUCACUGCCCUCACUGCGGAUGAAGAAAUCGAUCGCUGUCCUCACUGCGCCCGCUGGAAGAUGAAGAACUCGUGCUCGCCGGAAGAUGAAGAAGUCGUGGUCGCCGAUGUCGGAAUGGAAUGCAAGAAAUCGGAACGAUUGGGUUUGGGAGAGAUUGAAAAUAGGGAAGUUUAGGGAUUUAGGGAUUUUAGGAAUUUUAGUUGGGGUUUAGAAAUUUAUUUAGGGAUUUAGGAAUUUUAGG
Molecule: long non-coding RNA, 1876 nt
Filed under: Zostera marina
Lineage: Eukaryota; Viridiplantae; Streptophyta; Magnoliopsida; Alismatales; Zosteraceae
Description: long non-coding RNA (ZMAR_LNC000451)
Source: RNAcentral